GCCCCUGCCUGCGCUGAGGCUGCCGAGCCUGAGAAAUCCCAAAAGGGGCCUCGGCGGCGGGCUCUGGAUCCCGCUGGGGGGCUCUGACCCUGCCAAGUCUGGGCACUCCGCUGCGGGCCUCCUGGCUCCCGGGGUUCAUGGCUGUUAUGGUUCCUGGCUGUCGGGGCUCCUGGCUUUCGGGGCUCCCUGGCUGAAGGGGCUCCUGGCUGUAGGGGCUCCUGGCUAUGGAGGUUCCCGGUUAUAAGGGCUUCUGGAUGUAGUGGAUUCUGGCCGUCGAGGUCCCUGGCUGUCGGGGCUCCUGGCCGUAAUGGCCCCUGGCUGUCGGGACCCCUGGGUGUCGGGGUUCCUGGCUGUCGGGACCCCUGGGUGUCGGGGUUCCUGACUGUAGGGGCUCCUGGGUGUUAGGGUUCCUGGCUAUAGCAGGGGCUCCUGGGUGUCGGGGUUCCUUGCUGUCAGGGCUCCUGGUGGUAGAGGCUUCUUGCUGUUGGCUUCCUGGCUGUCGGGGUGACUGGGUGUCAGGGCUCCUGGUGUUAGGGUUCCUGGCUUCCUGGCUGUAGUAGGGGCUCCUGGGUGUCGGGGUUCCUUGCUGUCAGGGCUCCUGGUGGUAGAGGCUUCUGGCUGUUGGGGUUCCUGGGUGCCAGGGCUCCUGGGUGUCAGGGUUCCUGGCUGUCAGGACACCUGACUCCUGAGGCUCCUGGCUUUUGGGGCUCCAGACCUUCCUUGCACUUCCUGUGUCUCCUGGGUCUGUAAUAGAAGGGGCCGGUGGAGGGGUGGGGGUGAGACAUGUGAGUGAAAGUGAAGUCAGAUGUGUACAUUUAGGAAGCUGAAAUUAUCAAAAAUGAAAUUGCAUAAAGGUGAGGAAGAACUGGGAGGUCUGGGAACAGAAGUGGUAGAUCUUGAACUUCAACACAGACAGGGUGCUUCCAAUUCAGUCCUGGGACCUGAACCCGGAGCCCACAGCAUGUCCCUCCUCCCCUGGCCCUCCGCGCGUGCCGCCACUCAUUGCAGCCCCACAGAGCCAUCACCCAUUGUAACCUCAGAACAGAAGGGGCUGGGUGGGUCCACAGAUCCCUGCACUCCUCCCGUCUUGCCUCCUUGGAUGAUCCCUGGCUUGUCUUUCUCCCUUGGGAAUCCCCCUGAUGUUGGCUCUCCAUGUGGUGUACUCUGUACCCCACACCCCAUGCUUCCCACACACCUUCUGGCCUGAGUAAUCUCCAUGCCCCCAGUGACAUCAACCUCCAGGGAAACCUCAAUAGCAAGCCCAGAACCCUCCCCUGCAUCCCAGAGCCUAGCAUCCACUAACUUUGAGGAGGGGCCAUCUUUUAUUGGAUAUCCCCAAACCACACUGGGCCUUCCCUCCAAAGUGCCUCUCCUCUUGGUUCCCAUCUCAGGGAACACCAUCGCUCCCACCCAGACACUUGGGGCUCCUUCUGACUGGUCCCCCUGCUGUCCCUGGGCUUUGAGGCCAAGCCCCCACAGAGCCUUCCCUACUAGCCAGGUGUUCCCAGGCCUCCUUUGCUUGCUUCUACCGUGGCCUGUCUCAUGUUGUAGAACUGUGCUUGUCCUCCAUUGGCCUGUGUUCUUAAAGGGCAGGAGCUGAUCUGUGUCUCAGUGCCUGGAUCAGAGUCAGACACAUAGGAGGUACUCAGUCCAUGCUAACAGCUGCCAGAGGACUGGGCUCACUGGAUUGCAAAGACUUCGUACGAGAAAAGUAGCAUAUCAUUCAUACUUUUUAUAUUGAUUACAUGUUGAAAUGAGGAUAUUUGGAUAUAUUCGGUUUUCUGAAAUAUAUUAUUUAAAUUGGUCUCUUUUACCUUUGGCUCCUGAGAAAUGUCUAAUUUCAUAGGCAACUUUCAUUCGUGGCCCUUGAAUUUUCUUGGGCAGCACUACUGUGGUGUUUAAAAGCCUUUUGGAGCCUGUCACAUGUAUACCUCACCUGGAGAAAUACAUGGUAUUGAACACGGUAAAUUGUGUUAUUUAAAAUGCAACAGGAGAGUGAUGAGGAACCAUUUUGUAUCUUGCCUGUGGUGGUGAGAACACAAACUAAACAUGAUAAAAUUGUAUAGAACUUGGCUGGGUGCUCUGACUCACACCUGUAAUCCCAACAAUUUGGAAACCCCAGACAGGAGGAUCACUUGAGCCGAGGAGUUGGAGACCAGCCGGGCAACAUAGGAAGACCCGGUCUCUACAAAAAUAUAUAUAUAUAUAUGAGUCAGGCAUGGUGGCUCACACUUGUGGGCCCAGGUAGGUGAGAGGCUGAGGUGAGAAGAUCACUUGAGCCUGGGAGUUGGAGGCUGCAGUGAGCCAUGAUCCUGCCACUGCUACUGCCCACUAACCUGGGCGACAGAGCAAGACCCUGUCUCAAAAACAAAAACAACGCACACACACACACACACGCAUGCACGCGCGCACGAGUACAAGUAAAACUGGGAAAAUCUGAAAAAGAUCAGUCGAUUGUUUAUAAAUAUCAACAUCCUGGUUGCAGUAUUACAGUUUUGCAAGGUGUUGUCAUCGGAAGAAAGUGUACACAGGAUCUGUAUUAUUUCUCACAACUGCAUGUGAAUCUACAGUUGUUUUAAACUAAAAAGUUUAGUUAAAAACCAUGUAAAUAAGACUUUAAAGUUUACUAUGAAAAGAAUGCAAUAGGAGGGAAAAAAGACACCAUGUCAAAAAAAAAGAAAAAGAUACCAUGUCAUAAAACAAGAUACACAUUCUGGUUAUCACUUUUUUUCUUUUCUUUUCUUUGAGAUGGAGUUUUGCUCCUGUUGGCCAGGCUGGAGUGCAAUGGCGUGAUGUCGGCUCACCGCAACCUCCACCUCCCGGGUUCAAGCGAUUCUCCUGCCUCAGCCUCCCAAGUAGCUGGGAUUACAGGUGUGUGCCACCACGCCCGCCUAAUUUUGUAUUUUUAGUAGAGACGGAGUUUCUCCAUGUUGGUCAGGCUGGUCUCGAACUCCUGACCUCAGGUGAUCCGCCCGCCUCGGCUUCCCAAAGUGCUGGGAUUGCAGGUGUGAGCCACUGUGCCCGGCCUGUGAUUAUCAUUUUUAAGUAGAAUUGAAUGUAAAUAAAACAUAUAACUAUAUCAGUGAAUGGCUCAUAGAAAAGGGUCUCCAGAAGGAUGCUCCCCAAAUUAUUAUCAGAGCUUGCCUCCAGAGGGCAGAAACAGAGGAGAGCUAAAGGGAGGCCCUUCACUUUGACUUACACACUUCUUUGUGUCAUUUGCUUGUUUUCUAAUAGCAUAGACUGCUUUUGACAUUUAAAAAAUAAUGAAAUUGUAUUGCACAGGGGAAAUGUGCUAUAGUGAAUCCUUUUCAAAAAAAAAAGCAGUAAUCACCCCUCAAAUGUGGCUGUUUUAUAAAUGCUGAUUUUUCUUUUAUUUUUUAUUUUUUGAGACGGAGUCUUGCCCUGUCACCCAGACUGGAGUGCAGUAGCGCGAUCUGAGCUCACUGCAAGCUCCGCCUCCCGGGUUCAUGCCAUUCUCCUACCUCAGCCUCCCGAGUAGCUAGGAAUAGAGGCGCCUGCCACCACGCCCGGCUAAUUUUUUGUAUUUUUAGUAGAGAUGGGGUUUCACCGUGUUAGCCAGGAUGGUCUCGAUCUCCCGACCUCGUGAUCCGCCCACCUCGGCCUCCCAAAGUGCUGGGAUUACAGGCGUGAGCCACCGCCCCCGGCCCGCUGAUUUUUCUUUUAAAUGGAAUUUGCUGAAAGUGGCACAAACCAGUUGCAGAGCAGACUCUAAAAAAAAUGCUAUGAAAACUCCUGGAUAACACUUCCAUUUCUGCCCUUUUUGUAGUUUAUUAUUGUAGGGGCCACAGGAAAGCUUCUCCUUAGCCCUCUGAUGGUUUGCUGAAAAUCACUGACAAAAGGCAGAUUAAUAGGAGAAAAGAUAAACAAAUUUAUUUGAUCACAGUUUCACGUGACACGUGAAGACUCAAAGAUACAGGGAAAACUGUCCAUUUGUAUGCUUAGGUUCAACGAAGUAUGGACAGUUAUGUAGAAAUACGAUUGGACAAAAUGGGUAUGCUCUUAUGCUAGCAGAACUCACUGGGGGCUUUGCAGAUGCUGACGCCCCCCAGAACCCCCUGCUACCAGCCAUGGUCAAUCCCACCAUGUUCUUCAACAUGGCCGUCAAUGGCAAGCCCUGGGGCCAUCAAACAGCCCUUCGAGCUGUUUGCAGACAAGAUUCCAAAGACAGCAGAACACUUGCAUGCUCUGAGCACUGGAGGGAAAGGAUUUUGUCAUGAGGGUUCCUGCUUUCACAGAAUUAUUCCAGGGCUUAUGUGUUAGGGUGGUGGCUUCACACGCCGUAAUGGCGCUGGUGGCAAGUCCAUCUACAGGGAGAAAUUUGAUGAUGAAAACUGUAGCCUGAAGCAUACAGGUCCCGGCAUGUUGUCCAAGGCAAAUGCUGGACCAACACGUACGGUUCCCAGUUUGGCAUCUGCACUGCCAAGACUCAGUGGUUGCAUGGCGAGCAUGUGGUCUUUGGCAAGAUGAAAGAAGGCAUGAGGGUCCAGAAAUGGCAAGACCAGCAAGAAGGUCACCAUUGCUGACUGUGGACAACUCUAAUAAAUGUGACUUUGUGUUUUGUCUUUGAAAAGAACUGACUGGGAGAACCCAGCAAGGCUGGUCUGGUGUUCAGAUUCUUCCUGGCCUCUGUGCAGCCUCCUUCCUUCUGGGUAAAGGAGCAAGACCCUCUGUGGAAUGAGGUCUUAUGAACUACACUCAAGCAAGACGGAAUCUCGUUCUGACGCCCAGGCUGGAGUGGAGUGGCAUGAUCUCGGCUCACUGCAACCUCCGCCUCCCGGGUUCAAGCAAUUCUUCUCCCUCAGCCUCCCAAGCAGCUGGGACUACAGGCGUGUGCCACCACACCUGCAUUUAGCCAUUUAGCCAAGUUCUAUUCCGUCUUGGUGGUGGUGGUGGGGUUCCCAUAGCCUGAAGAAUAAGGGCCUGGGGCUCUGGGCCUGGGGACUGAAGCUUAGGCCUUGGAGACCUGAAGCUCCAGUGGAAGAUGCUUUCCUGGACUUUCCUGGCAGCAAAAAAAACUUCACCUCUUGCCUAUGAAUUGCCUGUAUUUUAAAGGGUGUGUGUGUGUGUGUGUGUGUGUGAGAGAGAGAGAGAGAGAGAGAGAGAAAUUGAGGUGUAAUUAUUUUGCUGGGUGAUGACAACAAACAUUUACUGCUCCUAAACAGGCAAGGAAAUGAUUUAGCCAUGAACUUUUCAUGAUGCCUCAUUCCCUCCUGUGGUCCCGUGGUCCUCAGGCUGCGCAGUGGGAGAAGGGGGGGUGGGGGGCCACAAAUAACCCACGUGGAAAGGAAUGUGGGGUCAGCCUCAGGAAAACUGGGAGGGGAGGUCCCACCUGGUGGGGGUCUUUGUAAACCCUACCAAGGGAAGCCCAGAAACACAAAGAGGUGCAGGGAGAGAAAGAAGGAGGAGGUGUUUUAAAGAGUAAAGCCUGGCAUUAGAAAGUGUUAUUCGAGUAAAAUGGCCAACGUUUCCUUUCUUUUAAGAGCGACUCUUAAAUUCCAAUUACUCCGCCCCCAAAGACCAGUUGAGAAUAACCCCAACUGGAGGGAAUUAAUUUCCUUAGGAAUUUCACUCUUACAAGAUUAAUGGAGCCCCCCUGCAGAGAAACGGUAAAACUGUAAGUACAGUAGAUUUGCACCUGAAGGAUACAUAUUUUAAUUUCUGUUCUCAAGCUGCGAUAACAUCUUCUCCAGCUACUAUAAAAAGCAUAAAUGAGCACCCGCACGUCUGCUGAGAACUUGCAACCCCAGGCUCCCCGGGAGCAGCCCCGCGCCGACCCUCCACGUUGCUCGCCUGGGUGCGGCGUGGGCGCGGGGAUGGGAAGGCGCGGGGAUGGGAAGGCCCAGGGCAAACAGCCUCCCCGCGAGCCGGGUCGACCCAGCCCAGAGCAGAACCCCUGGACCAGAUUAUCUUAAGUCGACCCCUACCCCGCCCCCAGCCCUGUCACCCACCGUGGCACCGCCCUCCCGCGGGGACAAUUGGCCUGGACCAAGAAUGGGGAGCCUGAACAGUGGCCGGUCUCCCACCCGCUCCUCCGGAGCCUGCAGGGGGGUUCAGCCUCUGUCCAGCAGACUUCCUGGCCCCAAGAACGGGCCUUGGGAAGGGGCUCCCCUGACUCCAAGUUGACAGCAGCCCGUCCCUUCUCCUUAGCCCAAGCCACUCUGGCAAUGGGGACCUGCCUCCCUCACGCUAACCAAGGACCGGUCUGGGAUGGGGAGUUGGAGAUGGGCUGUGAGGACUCUUCUCUCAGCCCUUAAGAGUCCAGAACUUAUCUGGGAACACAUCAGCCAAUUUUCUGUUCCCUUUCUUGCCAGGAACUGCUUUUAUUGGAAGAAGUCUAUGUAUAUGCAUGCCAUAAAGGUUGUUUAUGCUGUCAUAGCUAGAUUUUUAUUGGUUGUAUUUUUGCUGCACUUGCUUGAAAAAUAAUUAUUUUCAAAGAAAAGAAGAAUUACAUAUCCAGUAAACUAAAUAAGACUCACUGUUUAUUAGAGACCUCUGACAGCUCCUCAAACACGAAAAAAGAUUUCCAAGUAGUGGAUGGACAAUUUAUGUGUAAGUUUAUUUGUAAAACAGAUUUCAAAACAUACUUCAUCUUGACUCUGCCAAUAAAAAUACAUUCCAUUUCUUUUCAGAAGUAUGUCUUAUCUGAUGGCUUCACAGUAAUCUGGUUUCCCCUAAGAAGCUAAGACUAUCUGGGAGAACAGCACAAGAAAAACCCACCCCCAUGACUUGAUUACCUCCCACAACACGUGGGAAUCAUGGGAGCUACAAUUCAAGAAGAGAUUUGGGUGGAGACACAGCCAAACCACGUCACCAGACUGCCUCUUCAGGGAGUGAAUCACAAAUGUAUUCCUGACCACCCUGUUUUCUCCCCUCUUGAAUCAGAGAUGGGGGUCGCCUAUAUUUCCAAGGCUGGUCUCCAACGCCUGGGCUCAAAAGAUCCUCUGCCUUGGCCUCUCAAAGUGCUGGGAUUACAGGUAGUGAGUGAGUUCUGGCUCUAAGAGUUCAUGCAAGAGCUGAUUGUUUAAAGAGGCUGGCACCUCCUCCUCCCUCUCUUGCCACGUGAGACCCCGCUGCCCCUUGGCCUUCUGCCAUGAUUGAAAGCUUCCUGAGGCCCCACUGGAAGCAGAUGCUGACACCGUUGCUUCGUGUACAGUCUGUAGAACUAUGAGACAAAUAAACUGCUUUGUAAAUACCCAGCCUCAGUAUUCCUUUAUAGCAGUGCAAAACAGACUAAUCAAAGGGGGAAGCAUUUCCAGGUAAAGAAGAUAACCAAUUAUUGUUAUUGUAAUAUCUAAAGAAACCGUAAAUUUCAAAGGUAAAAUCUAACCUUAUUCUAGUGCCCAAGGAAGUGCUGGGAAUGUUUAAAUAAGAGGGCAGCAGGGAAUGGAAGGAGCGCCUCGGAAAUGCCUACUCCAUGCCAGGCUCCCUACUACAGGCUUUACGUGUUAUCUUGUACAUCUCAGUAAGAUGAGCAGACAUGGUGCUUUUUAAAAGACGUCAUGGGAGUUUGAAAGGGGGAAGAUUGGGUAAAUGGAAAAACAGAAGUCAUGGCUUUGCAAAAGUUGAAUCAAACUGCUCCUUGGCCCGGCCCCAUCACACACACAGAUCCCCCUUGGCAUGGCCAAAAUGAGUGUGUUCAUUGGCAAAUCAGCAGCCACUCUUGGAAGCUCUGACUUCUCUGGAAGGCAGAUGACAGAAGCAGUCUAUUUUAUUCCUAUUUUAUAGAUGAGGGAACUGAGGCUCAGAAACAAACACUCAUCAUUUGAAUACAGGAGCCAUUACCGAAUCAAACCUCUCUGGAAACCGCCUGAACUCUAUGUGAUCCAGGAAGGGGAAAGACUGUGUGCUCAGUUAGAGAAAGACUAGAGAUGGUCACACCAGCUACCAUUAGUUGAGACCUUACCAGACACAGUGCUCACCACUCCACAGUCACAGACAAACAUCUCACUUAAAACUCCAAAGUGGCCGGGUGCGGUGGCUCAUGCCUGUAGUCCCAGCACGUUGGGAGGCUGAGGUGGGCGGAUUAAGAGGUCAAGAAUUUGAGACCAGCCUGGCCAACAUGGCGAAACCCCGUCUCUACUAAGAAUACAAAAAUUAGGGCUGGGCGCGGUG
This 8133-nucleotide long non-coding RNA is filed under the name Homo sapiens (human). RNAcentral's name for it is "non-protein coding lnc-C10orf143-11:2". Lineage: Eukaryota; Metazoa; Chordata; Mammalia; Primates; Hominidae. The record is from RNAcentral.